Molecule: non-coding RNA, 364 nt
Organism: Schizosaccharomyces pombe (fission yeast)
Lineage: Eukaryota; Fungi; Ascomycota; Schizosaccharomycetes; Schizosaccharomycetales; Schizosaccharomycetaceae
Source: the annotation of a GenBank genome assembly
CGCUGCUUUAAAAAGUGACAUACCUCUUUUGAUGGAUUUUUUGCAUUAACUUUUAUAGUAUUGACCUGAUCAGGAGGCCCGAGUUCUUUAAAUUGUGCGAUGGAUUUAGAACGCGCAUCUAAUGACUCGUUUACACGAGUUUCUAAAAACCUAUCGUCAUUGUUUAGAACUUCAGCUCAAUUAUAUUUAAGGAACUUACUCUGGUAUAUCCUUAAAGAAUGAAUCACUCAUAUAUCAUAAAUUGGAAUUAAUAUGCAAAGCAGCGUUCAAUUCGGCCUCGUGGCUGGUUCCAGUUAAGAGGUUAUGGUGUAGCCGCAGCCUGACUUGCUGUAACGAAGUGUAGCAAGCGACAAUUAGGCAAUCG